RNAcentral lists this ribosomal RNA (468 nucleotides) under uncultured bacterium. RNAcentral's name for it is "partial 16S ribosomal RNA". It matches the Rfam family "Bacterial small subunit ribosomal RNA", at positions 28 to 507 of the family's 1533-position model. The record is from RNAcentral.
GACGAACGCUGGCGGCGUGCUUAACACAUGCAAGUCGAACGGAAAGGCCCUGCUUUUGUGGGGUUCUCGAUUGGCGAACGGGUGAGUAACACGUGAGUAACCUGCCCUUGACUUUGGGAUGACUUCAGGUAACUGGGGCUAAUACCGGAUAGUAGCUCCUGCUGCAUGGUGGGGGUUGGAAAGUUUCGGCGGUUGGGGAUGGACUCGCGGCUUAUCAGCUUGUUGGUGGGGUAGUGGCUUACCAAGGCUUGGAAGGGUAGCCGGCCUGAGAGGGUGACCGGCGACAUGGCGACUGAGAUACGGCGCAGACUGGUACGGGAGGCAGCAGUGGGGAACAUUGCACAAUGGGAGGAAGUCUGAUGCAGAGACGUCGCGUGCGGGAUGCCGGCUUUCGGGUUGUGAACCGCUUUAGCUUAUGACGAAGCGGGAGUGACGGUAAUGGGUAAAGAAGCACCGGCUAACUACGUG